GCCACUACCAAACAGCUGUCGAGAUUGCCCGGGGAUCACUUGUACUAGAGCAAAGUUAAAGAACAGCUACUGUGCUGGUGUCUAACUUGAUUCAUGGCUAUCCAAUCAAGGAGACGAGGAGGCAUCCCGAAAAUGACACAUCAGCAGGGAGAAGAGAAAGGAGUGGGUCCAGAAAGGAACGGCUUGGAUCAGACAUGGUGAAACCAAAGGAAGCCUGUGGUCACUAAGUUCAACUUUGCUACUUUUGUACAUUUGGGGAAAGCUGCCAGAACAAUCUCAGCUGGGAGCAGUGUGCCAGUUCCUGUUCAGUGUUGCCAGAUGAAACCUCUUUUUUUUUUUUUUUUCCCCCCCCAACAUCAUCAGCCUCAGUCAAGCAACUUCCUGCAAGAAUACCCAAAGUGGGUUACACACUGCAGGAAGAAACUAGGACACUUGCCUUACAACUAUCUUCAGUAGAGAAGAUCCCAGCCAAGUUCACGUUUCCAGGAAAGAAACCUCACACAUCCCAAGAGCUGACCAAUGAAACACACCUUUGAAGACUCUGGCUCAACAUCAGCUUGUCAUUUACACCUCAGAGAUAAAGACCUUCUGUUUCCAAAGUACAAAGCCCAAAACCCUCCAAGCAGUUCCACCAGGGGUCCAGAGUCAUCUCAACAGGAGAUCAUUUUUCUACAGAGCACAAGGAGAAUUCCUUCCCAACACCUAACCUAAAAAUCCCCUCUUUCAGUUUGAAUCCAUUCCACCUUGCCCUAUCUACCUGUGUAAAAAGUCAGUCCCCCUCCAGCUUGUA
Lagopus leucura (white-tailed ptarmigan) is the source of this 790-nucleotide long non-coding RNA. RefSeq lists it as uncharacterized. NCBI's taxonomy places the organism in Eukaryota, Metazoa, Chordata, Aves, Galliformes, Phasianidae. The record is from RefSeq and is a predicted model, not a curated record. The transcript is spliced from 4 exons.